UACAGAGGGGGCAAGCGUUGUUCGGAAUUACUGGGCGUAAAGGGCGCGUAGGCGGCCUGCUAAGUCGAACGUGAAAUCCCCGGGCUCAACCCGGGAACUGCGUCCGAUACUGGCAGGCUUGAAUCCGGGAGAGGGAUGCGGAAUUCCAGGUGUAGCGGUGAAAUGCGUAGAUAUCAGGAGGAACACCCAUGGCGAAGGCAGUUCACUGGCAGUCUCCUGACGCUGAGGCGCGAAAGCGUGGGUAGCAAACAGG
Molecule: ribosomal RNA, 253 nt
Filed under: uncultured bacterium
Lineage: Bacteria
Description: partial 16S ribosomal RNA
Rfam family: Bacterial small subunit ribosomal RNA
Source: RNAcentral